RNAcentral lists this unclassified non-coding RNA (161 nucleotides) under uncultured Hypocreales. Its description in RNAcentral is "sequence contains ITS1". The record is from RNAcentral. Lineage: Eukaryota; Fungi; Ascomycota; Sordariomycetes; Hypocreales.
UAGAGUGUAAAAAACUCCCAAACCCCUGUGAACAUACCACUGUUGCUUCGGCAGGUACGCCCCGGGCGCCACCGCGUGCCCCGGAACCAGGCGCCUGCCGGGGGACCACAAACUCUUGUUUUACUCUUUUGUAUCGUCUGAGUGGAUUAUCAAAUAAAUCA